This 222-nucleotide ribosomal RNA is filed under the name uncultured bacterium. RNAcentral's name for it is "partial 16S ribosomal RNA". It matches the Rfam family "Bacterial small subunit ribosomal RNA", at positions 109 to 334 of the family's 1533-position model. The record is from RNAcentral.
AGUAAUGUCUGGGAAACUGCCUGAUGGAGGGGGAUAACUACUGGAAACGGUAGCUAAUACCGCAUGACGUCGCAAGACCAAAGUGGGGGACCUUCGGGCCUCAUGCCAUAAGAUGUGCCCAGAUGGGAUUAGCUAGUAGGUGGGGUAACGGCUCACCUAGGCGACGAUCCCUAGCUGGUCUGAGAGGAUGACCAGCCACACUGGAACUGAGACACGGUCCAG